This 747-nucleotide non-coding RNA is filed under the name Bostrichoidea sp. 9 KM-2017. Lineage: Eukaryota; Metazoa; Arthropoda; Insecta; Coleoptera. The record is from RNAcentral.
UAAAAGUUUUAUUUAUGCUUUGAAUUUAAGUUUUACUUUAAAAUAAAUGUAAAUUUUGAUAUUUAAAUAAAUUGGUUCAGCAGUAUUUAUUAUUAAUUAUAAGGUAAUUCUGGAAUUAGUAAUUGUAAUAUGUAUUGACAAAAUUUGUGCCAGCAGUAGCGGUUAUACAGAUAAUACUAUUUAAAUUGUUUAGGUGGGGGUUAAAGAUUAGUGCAAUAGAAUAAAUUUGUUAUUAUUAGGUGAAAUUUUAUUAAUAAUUUUUCUAUUAUAUUUUGAGGCCUUGAAAUUUAAGAUUUAAAUUGGGAUUAGAUACCCCAUUAUUUUAAAUGUAAAAUUUUGCCUAUAUUAUUGUGAGUUAAGUUCUUUAAAAUAAAAGGAUUUGGCGGUAUUUUAGUCUUUUCAGAGGAACCUGUUGUAUGAACGAUAGUCCACGAUUUUUUUUACUUGUUUUAGAAGGUUUGUAUAUCGUCGUAGUAGAAUUUUCUAUUAAGAGUUAAAAAUUCUUAGGUUUAAUUUUAAUAUAAAUCAGAUCAAGGUGCAGCGUAUAAACAAGAAUUAAUGGGUUACAAUAAAUUUAUUUAUACGGAAAAAUUUAAUAAUUUAUUUUUUGAAGGUGGAUUUGGAAGUAAUAAUUUUAAUUUAUAAUUAUGAUUUAGCUCUAAAAUAUGCACAUAUCGCCCGUCGCUCUCAUUAAUAUGGGAUAAGUCGUAACAAAGUAGUCUUACUGGAAAGUGUGUCUAGAUGGAC